Molecule: unclassified non-coding RNA, 245 nt
Filed under: Hevea brasiliensis (rubber tree)
Lineage: Eukaryota; Viridiplantae; Streptophyta; Magnoliopsida; Malpighiales; Euphorbiaceae
Source: RNAcentral
UUUUUUUUUUUUUUUUUUGUAUCAGCUAGAGAACAAAGGAAUUGUAUCAUUUCAUGACCGAUCAGUGAAUUAUUGAACCAAGCUGGAUUUGAACCAGCGUAGACGUAUUGCCAACGAAUUCAUAACCACAAGGAAGAUCCCAACUGCCAGAAGUAAUGGAAAUGAAAUGUUUUCAACUCUGACAACAGCAUCCUCCUGUUUCAGUUUCUCCUACCUGUAAAACAAUGCCAAUUUCUCUUCUCUCU